AUGAAGCCCUUCGGGGUGGAUUAGUGGCGAACGGGUGAGUAACACGUGGGCAAUCUGCCCUGCACUCUGGGACAAGCCCUGGAAACGGGGUCUAAUACCGGAUAUGACCGUCCAUCGCAUGGUGGAUGGUGUAAAGCUCCGGCGGUGCAGGAUGAGCCCGCGGCCUAUCAGCUAGUUGGUGAGGUAGUGGCUCACCAAGGCGACGACGGGUAGCCGGCCUGAGAGGGCGACCGGCCACACUGGGACUGAGACACGGCCCAGACUCCUACGGGAGGCAGCAGUGGGGAAUAUUGCACAAUGGGCGAAAGCCUGAUGCAGCGACGCCGCGUGAGGGAUGACGGCCUUCGGGUUGUAAACCUCUUUCAGCAGGGAAGAAGCGAAAGUGACGGUACCUGCAGAAGAAGCGCCGGCUAACUACGUGCCAGCAGCCGCGGUAAUACGUAGGGCGCAAGCGUUGUCCGGAAUUAUUGGGCGUAAAGAGCUCGUAGGCGGCUUGUCACGUCGGUUGUGAAAGCCCGGGGCUUAACCCCGGGUCUGCAGUCGAUACGGGCAGGCUAGAGUUCGGUAGGGGAGAUCGGAAUUCCUGGUGUAGCGGUGAAAUGCGCAGAUAUCAGGAGGAACACCGGUGGCGAAGGCGGAUCUCUGGGCCGAUACUGACGCUGAGGAGCGAAAGCGUGGGGAGCGAACAGGAUUAGAUACCCUGGUAGUCCACGCCGUAAA
Molecule: ribosomal RNA, 720 nt
Filed under: Streptomyces sp. 6-17
Lineage: Bacteria; Bacillati; Actinomycetota; Actinomycetes; Kitasatosporales; Streptomycetaceae
Description: bacterial SSU rRNA
Rfam family: Bacterial small subunit ribosomal RNA
Source: RNAcentral